Molecule: ribosomal RNA, 253 nt
Filed under: uncultured bacterium
Lineage: Bacteria
Description: partial 16S ribosomal RNA
Rfam family: Bacterial small subunit ribosomal RNA
Source: RNAcentral
GACAGAGGGUGCAAACGUUGCUCGGAAUCACUGGGCAUAAAGCGCACGUAGGCCGUCUACUAAGUCCGAUGUGAAAUCCCCCGGCUCAACCGGGGAACUGCAUCGGAUACUGGUGGACUCGAGAGUUGUAGGGGUGGACGGAACUCCAGGUGGAGCGGUGAAAUGCGUAGAUAUCUGGAGGAACACCGGAGGCGAAAGCGGCCCACUGGGCAUCUUCUGACGCUGAGGUGCGAAAGCUAGGGUAGCAAACGGG